Molecule: ribosomal RNA, 460 nt
Filed under: uncultured bacterium
Lineage: Bacteria
Description: partial 16S ribosomal RNA
Rfam family: Bacterial small subunit ribosomal RNA
Source: RNAcentral
CCUACGGGAGGCUGCAGUGAGGAAUAUUGGUCAAUGGCCGGAAGGCUGAACCAGCCAUGCCGCGUGAAGGUCAGUGCCCUAUGGGCGUUAAACUUCUUUUUUGCGGGAGCAAUACUGGUCACGUGUGGCCAGACGGGAAUACCGUACGAAUAAGCAUCGGCUAACUCCGUGCCAGGAGCCGCGGUAAUACGGGGGAUGCAAGCGUUAUCCGGAUUUAUUGGGUUUAAAGGGUUCGUAGGCUGGGAGGUAAGUCAGCGGUGAAAGGCCCCCGCUCAACGGGGGGAAGUGCCAUUGAUACUGCCUGGCUGGAAUGCGGAUGCGGUGGGAGGAAUGUGUGGUGUAGCGGUGAAAUGCGUAGAUAUUAGGAGGAACACCAGUGGCGAAGGCGGCUUACUGGACUGUAACUGACGUUGAGGCUCGAAAGCGUGGGGAGCAAACAUGAUUAGAUACCCCUGUAGUC